Molecule: ribosomal RNA, 429 nt
Filed under: Verrucomicrobiota bacterium
Lineage: Bacteria; Pseudomonadati; Verrucomicrobiota
Description: Verrucomicrobia bacterium partial 16S ribosomal RNA
Rfam family: Bacterial small subunit ribosomal RNA
Source: RNAcentral
UAGGGAAUCUUCCGCAAUGGACGAAAGUCUGACGGAGCAACGCCGCGUGAGUGAAGAAGGAUUUCGGUUCGUAAAACUCUGUUGUUAGGGAAGAAAAAAUGUAUAGUAACUAUAUACAAAAGAGACGGUACCUAACCAGAAAGCCACGGCUAACUACGUGCCAGCAGCUGCGGUAAUACGUAGGUGGCAAGCGUUGUCCGGAAUUAUUGGGCGUAAAGCGCGCGCAGGUGGUUUAGAAAGUCUGAUGUGAAAGCCCACGGCUCAACCGUGGAGGGUCAUUGGAAACUAAUAAACUUGAGUGCAGGAGAGAAAAGUGGAAUUCCUAGUGUAGCGGUGAAAUGCGUAGAGAUUAGGAGGAACACCGGUGGCGAAAGCGGCUUUUUAGCCUGCAACUGACACUGAGGCGCGAAAGCGUGGGGAGCAAACAGG